CUAGAGCCUUUGACAGAUGUCAAGGGCCAGACAUACUGAUCUCCAGUGCUCUCCGAAAAGUUGGAGCCCUCCUCUUGGACGAUGUUCCUGAUGGCCACCCUAAAGUGAGCACUGCUCCCAGCUAGGAGCAGGCAAGUCCAGCUGCUGCCUGGAGGAAGCCAACCCCACUCCUGGAGGCGCAGCACCUACACACACCUCACCUUCGAGCAGCUGAAUUCUUGAGGCAGGAGACAGGAUCUCUGUGUUGAAGGAGGAGAGCUGAGGAGUGAGAAGAACAGCAUUGAGACAGAGAGAACAUGUCUGAUGUUCUGCAGAGGAGGAAGCAAGAGUCUACUGUCCCAGGACCCAGGGAAGAAGCCUGAACAUGGGGGAAACUCAAGACCUUCCCUUCCCUGUCCUGCUGCUUGUCACUCUGAAUCUCCUGCUGUCCUCCUUGUGGUGUGGCUUGGGCUGUCCACUCACACUCAGUCCAGGCUUUUCUUCCUCUGCUAUUCCUUCCAAGUGCAUUCGGGAGACUCUGAAGGAGGAAUCCUUUCUACAAAGGUUUGCCUGAAUUCAGCCUAUCUUACAGUGAGAGUAAAGACGAAAAGGGGCACAUAUCUGCCCAUCCCAAGCCUGGUGCCAAAUACAGUCA
Molecule: long non-coding RNA, 634 nt
Organism: Psammomys obesus (fat sand rat)
Lineage: Eukaryota; Metazoa; Chordata; Mammalia; Rodentia; Muridae
Exons: 3
Source: RefSeq, a predicted model, not a curated record